Rhododendron vialii is the source of this 962-nucleotide long non-coding RNA. RefSeq lists it as uncharacterized. The transcript has 2 exons. Lineage: Eukaryota; Viridiplantae; Streptophyta; Magnoliopsida; Ericales; Ericaceae. The record is from RefSeq and is a predicted model, not a curated record.
UAUGGCUCCAUUCUUGUAAAAUUUUGUCUAAAACCCUUUUCGUUUUUUUUAAAAAUUUUCGCAACUUUUUGUUGAGCUUUUUGUCGUAAUUUUUAGAGUUAAUCAUUCGUCUCAAUGAGAGAAAAAAAAAAAUAUAGACCGAUGUUGAAUAAGUUCAUAAGACGAAUUUUUAGACAAAAAAUACAGCUAUUUAUUACUUUUUCUUCUUUAGUGAACUUUUUUUUUUGCAUUAAUUUGGUCAUAAUUUUUCUAUGUUUAGACUCCUCUUGUUGAGAUUGAUAACUAAUUCAAAAAAUAAGAUCAAAUCUAAUAAAAAUUCAGAGAAGACGAACAAAACGCACAAAAGGACAAAAAAGUUUUGGAAAAUAGGGCCUUAGUAUUUGUUUCCAAAAACCUUGUUAAAGAAAGAGAAACUUCAACAAAUAUGUAUGGACACAUGGUAAUUUAUCUCUUGAAACUAGUAUCCGUUUUGAAUUAUGUGUUGAAAAUGCAAAGCCGGCUCUGACUUUUGGGGGCUUAAAGCGAAAAUUAAAAAUAGGAUCUCAUUUGUUGGACUAUAAUAAGGGAUAAAGAAGUAGGAGGGCCCUUACAAUUCAGAUUUUUUUGAGGUCUAAAGCGACCGCAAUACUUGUUUUACCUUAGGACCAGCUCUGUGAAAAUGAUAAGUCUGGGUCUAUCAAAAAUAUGAGUUGACCAGAUAAGUCUGGGAGUGAGCAUGGAAUAAUUUUUAGUAUCGGCUUUUUUUUUUAAUCGGUGAAAUUCAGUAUUGUUCAGAUAAUUUUGUUGAUAUCUUAGAAGAGGAGAUGAAUUCCUAACUUCCUCUCUCUCAAAACUUCGCUUGCAUCCCGAUGUCGUUGGGUCAAAGGCCUCUAGCGAGCAUGGCAUAAGUUGGAGAUUAGCGGGCUAGACGUUCAAUUUGCUUGAGAGGAGGUGGCCUAAGAAUAAGAUCCCGUAUCUAUAUA